GACGAACGCUGGCGGCGUGCCUAAUACAUGCAAGUCGAACGCACAGUUUAUACCGUAGCUUGCUACACCAUAGACUGUGAGUUGCGAACGGGUGAGUAACGCGUAGGUAACCUGCCUGGUAGCGGGGGAUAACUAUUGGAAACGAUAGCUAAUACCGCAUAAUAUUAAUUAUUGCAUGAUAAUUGAUUGAAAGAUGCAACUGCAUCACUACCAGAUGGACCUGCGUUGUAUUAGCUAGUAGGGGAGGUAACGGCUCACCUAGGCGACGAUACAUAGCCGACCUGAGAGGGUGAUCGGCCACACUGGGACGGGGACACGGCCCAGCAUCCUACGGGAGGCAGCAGUAGGGAAUCUUCGGCAAUGGGCGAAAGUCUGACCGAGGAACGCCGCGUGAGUGAAGAAGGUUUUCGGAUCGUGAAGCUCGGUUGUAAGAGGAGAGCGGGUGUGAGAGUGGAAAGUUCACGCUGUGACGGUAUCUUACCAGAAAGGGACGGCUAACUACGUG
RNAcentral lists this ribosomal RNA (505 nucleotides) under uncultured bacterium. RNAcentral describes it as "partial 16S ribosomal RNA". It matches the Rfam family "Bacterial small subunit ribosomal RNA", at positions 28 to 507 of the family's 1533-position model. The record is from RNAcentral.